AAUCAUCAAAACCUUUUCUUUGAUCCUUUUGGUCGAGAAAGGGAUUUUGGACUUGGAGGUUCAAUGCUCGCUGGGAAAGUGAGCUCCUCUCAAAUAAAUUAGUGGGGGUUUGCUUCGCCGAUCCUUGACGUGAUAAGUCGUUUCUACGUUUUGGAUUUGGUUGGGCACCCGCUUCUAACUGUCCUACGGACGAUUGUGGUGUUCCGGUCACCUGGACCCAUAAGAAAA
RNAcentral lists this unclassified non-coding RNA (228 nucleotides) under uncultured Russula. RNAcentral describes it as "sequence contains ITS2". The record is from RNAcentral. Lineage: Eukaryota; Fungi; Basidiomycota; Agaricomycetes; Russulales; Russulaceae.